RNAcentral lists this microRNA precursor (88 nucleotides) under Canis lupus familiaris (dog). RNAcentral describes it as "mir-8799 microRNA precursor family". It matches the Rfam family "mir-8799 microRNA precursor family". RNAcentral also lists the same sequence under 1 other name. Lineage: Eukaryota; Metazoa; Chordata; Mammalia; Carnivora; Canidae. The record is from Rfam by way of RNAcentral.
CGGGGGAGGCCGGAUCCUGGGCUGCGUCUGGCGCCCUGUGCUGUGGGGCCUGCGCUGGUGGAUUCGCGCUCCCGCCCCGCAGCCCCCU